CAAGGGGCCGCCGAAAACCUUUUGAAAAGAGUAGGCA
Sinomicrobium oceani is the source of this 37-nucleotide regulatory RNA element. It matches the Rfam family "DUF805b RNA". From Rfam's summary of the family: Bacteroidetes, Chlorobi (1 example), Proteobacteria. Lineage (Flavobacteria) NCBI's taxonomy places the organism in Bacteria, Pseudomonadati, Bacteroidota, Flavobacteriia, Flavobacteriales, Flavobacteriaceae. The record is from Rfam.